AGCAACUGAAUGCCUGGGUGGAUCAAGGUGGUGAUCUCUUUUCGUCCUGUAGCAAAGUAGACUUGUGGGUGUGGUCUGCCUUCACUGAGAUGGAAAUAAGAAAUUACAACUAGAGACCAUCAGAUCUGUAAGGCCUGGAGAGCCACGCAGAAGGAUGCAGACUGGUCAUCGGGCAGGAGUAUUGGUGCACAGAUGGCCAGUAUUGGAGGCUGAGACUUGAGAGAUGUCAAACAUCUGAGUGGGAUGGGAAAAAAUGAAGCUGAGAGUGUUGCAAUGAACUUCCCAAGGUCAUUCAUCUGCUCUGAGGAGUCCCCGCUGUGCCUGUGAUUGAUUUCGCACAACACAGCUCUCCAGCCACAUUCAUUUCUGCCAGAAGCCGAUGUUCUUGCUCACCAUGGCUGUGUUAAAUCCUCAGCACCAUAGAAGAUGCUCUCUGUCUGAAUGCUGGAAAUAAGUUGAAUCUUUGAAUUAAAGUCAUUUUGCAAAAUGGAUGCUAGGAGGACCAUCUCUGAAAUCAUAAAAACUAGAUAUCUUGUCACUGAAGAGUUUGCCUCAGGCCAUUUCUCUGAGAUGUUACUAUCUAGCAAACAAACCAGUUCUGGGGAAAGUGAGUGAGAUGGCAUUGAUCUAUGUGUAAAAUUGCCUCUUUUUCCCUCUUAGAGAAGCUAUAACAUAGACAGCAUCUGCAGCAAUCGGGUAGAUUUUUGUUUGUGUGUAAUAUACUGUGUUGAAUAUUCAUUUUUGCUGAACAGUGGG
This 756-nucleotide long non-coding RNA is filed under the name Equus caballus (horse). Its description in RNAcentral is "lncRNA (ENSECAG00000052077.1)". The record is from RNAcentral. Lineage: Eukaryota; Metazoa; Chordata; Mammalia; Perissodactyla; Equidae.